This 639-nucleotide long non-coding RNA is filed under the name Marmota monax (woodchuck). The record is from RNAcentral. Lineage: Eukaryota; Metazoa; Chordata; Mammalia; Rodentia; Sciuridae.
AUCUGAGCCAGGGGUGGGUAUGGCCUGUCUUUCACAGGUCUGGAUGACCCCGAGGGUGGGUCAGUGGGGUCUUUCUGUGGCUGUGCCGCUGUGUGUGUGGGAACCUCUGGGACCUUGGCCUUAGCUCAUUGUCAAGGGCAGAGGAGGAGAGGUUGCGACUCAGCAUCCCCACCCUGGCCACCCUCUGAACCUGCUUCGCUUUGGGUGGGUCUCCUCUCACCUGGGAGUUGGCCAAAGACCCCAGCAGAGGGGGCCACAUCCAUCUGUCUUCCACAAAGAGCCUCAUAAAAGGGCCCAGACUGAAAAUCAAUUCUUUAGAGCUGAAAUCAAUAACAAUAACUAAUAUUAAUACUGAUUAUGCUGCUUUAUUGCACUUUGCAGCUGGGAGGGGAUGUUUUUAAGGAUUCACGGAGGUGGUGCCUGGUAGAACGCAGCUCGGAGCCCAGAGCUGGGCAGGACGCUCCCCACGGGGCCUGUUUGGGCUGGCCUGCUCCCUGCCUUGGCUGAGUUUGCCAGUUGCAGCUCAUGACUGUGUGGACCUGCAGGUCCUGGGUGAGCAGAGCCUUGGGCAGGGCUCGACCUCGGCAUGCAGGCUGGGCACCGUGGAGGGGUGCGAGGGACAGGUCCCGGGGCCUGCUC